Molecule: long non-coding RNA, 413 nt
Organism: Macadamia integrifolia
Lineage: Eukaryota; Viridiplantae; Streptophyta; Magnoliopsida; Proteales; Proteaceae
Exons: 3
Source: RefSeq, a predicted model, not a curated record
UUUACUAGAAACUCACGUCACCGCACACUGGAUCUCCAUCGUACCGAGGGUGAACAUUGUACAUAUCUAGGUACCCGCGACUGGCCUUCUCCAAUAAGCCUACGGGCGUAUCGCAGGAUGGGGUUCAUGGCUCAUACCUGGGGCAUACGCGCACUAUGGUUAUGAUCUUGCAGGUUUUUUAGCUGAGGAGCUAGAGUUGGGAUCCGUUGUAGAAUUUUCAGCUAAGGACUGGUCGGUCCCUGAAGAUCUUGGGUAAGGUGCUGAGUGCCCGUGCGAGAACUGUGUUGCAGGACAACAAUAAUGAUACCCGACCUGAGAUUCUUUUUUAUUCUUUGUUAUGUUACCCCUUUUGUGCUUUGGAUACUUAAAUUGUAUUUCUUAUGUAUAUAUCAUGCCAGCGGGCCUACAUGUAA